GACGAACGCUGGCGGCGUGCUUAACACAUGCAAGUCGAGCGGUAAGGCUCCUUCGGGAGUACACGAGCGGCGAACGGGUGAGUAACACGUGAGCAAUCUGCCCAUCUCUUUGGAAUAAGCGUUGGAAACGACGUCUAAUGCCGAAUACGACCUCCUUUCGCAUGAUCGGAGGUGGAAAGCUCCGGCGGAGAUGGAUGAGCUCGCGGCCUAUCAGCUAGUUGGUGAGGUAACGGCCCACCAAGGCGACGACGGGUAGCCGGCCUGAGAGGGUGACCGGCCACACUGGGACUGAGACACGGCCCAGACUCCUACGGGAGGCAGCAGUGGGGAAUAUUGGACAAUGGGCGAAAGCCUGAUCCAGC
RNAcentral lists this ribosomal RNA (362 nucleotides) under uncultured bacterium. RNAcentral's name for it is "bacterial SSU rRNA". It matches the Rfam family "Bacterial small subunit ribosomal RNA", at positions 28 to 392 of the family's 1533-position model. The record is from RNAcentral.